UCGCUUUGAACUCGGGGAACUAGCCCCUCUUCUUGGAGAAGGAGGCCGCGCCCGCACCCAAAGGGAAUCCUCAGUUGUCCCAGCAGUGCCCACGUAAAAUAUUUUCUUCUGUCGAACUCUUGCAACGAAAUCGGAUUUUCUAUUUGGAUGGUUCUACGUCAAAGACGGUCUGCAGCGGCACCCGGCUUUGCCCGUGAUUAACGGAAAGACAUUUCCUACAAUAAGUCCCCUAGGUGAUCUCAGGUCAGAAUGACCCACCUGAGCAUCCGGACAAGAGUUCGGGGAAGAAACUUCUCCCCUCCCUGGAAGCUGAGAUAAGCGGUUAAGACGUCCAGAAAAUAGGUGAGGCCAAGCCUGUUGAGUCCCCGGGAGGCGCAGGCGCGCGGAUCCGGGAUGCUGGGAUGCUUCGGGGACUCCUCCGGAUACCUACGCCGCGCGAAACCUCCCUCGCUCCCUCACCCUAAACCAAGGUCUCGAGGAACGGGGGUUGGGGUGCGGGGAGUGUACUGCGUGUAACGGGUGUCGCGGCGCAGGGCACCAGCAGUCAGCUAUGGAAUGGACUUGACCAUGAUGUUCCCGGGCCAGCGGCUCCCUGCGAUGGGAGUCCCCGAGCUCCCCAGUCGGUAAAUAUCCGACGAUUGCCUCCUGGGAGCCACGCCCGGCAUCCACCCCCUCCCCACCCGCCACGUCCCAGUCACGGUCAAUUUCCAGGCCGCCCCCAGGGCCCCCCACUCUGUGUCCUAACCCCCGCCCUCCCGUGGGGCCAAGUUGAGGGCACCACCAGCGCUCUUCGGAGUGAGUUUUCUGGUGGGGCCCAGGCUUCGUUGGAUCGCACGCACCCCGCCCACCCAUCCCCCAACUGCUCUCCCCGGAGCGCAGCCCCGGCGUCGGCCGCGCCGAGCGAGGCGUCCCCUGGCGGCAGGAAGCCGCGCGCACUCGUCUCCCUGGUGGCUCCGGGCUGAUCCCCUCCGAGCUCCCGGUCCCCUCCGCCGCCCGACCACCCGGGCGCCCUCGCCGGCCUCUCCCACUCUUCCGUCUCCCACGGAGGUGGCUACCUUGUUCCCAGAGACUGUCCGAGAGACGCUCGCGGCUUUCCUUGACUGGCCCGGGCGCGCCCUUGGCCCAAGCCCCCUCCACGUUCCCCAGCAGCGGGCCUGGUCCUCCCUCAAUAGAAACCACUGAUGCCGGGGGUGAAGGAAAACCGUAUUCAUCUGGAUUUUCAAAAAGAAAACGUCCCCCCCUCAACAACCUCGCAUCCACCGCCCCUUGCACGGAUCCUGUGAACUGGAAAGGCAGAUAUCCCACGGCCUUCUCGCUGGUCACAUGA
This 1327-nucleotide long non-coding RNA is filed under the name Bos indicus x Bos taurus (hybrid cattle). RNAcentral's name for it is "lncRNA (ENSBIXG00005019567.1)". The record is from RNAcentral. Lineage: Eukaryota; Metazoa; Chordata; Mammalia; Artiodactyla; Bovidae.